RNAcentral lists this ribosomal RNA (465 nucleotides) under Vreelandella stevensii. RNAcentral describes it as "partial 16S ribosomal RNA". It matches the Rfam family "Bacterial small subunit ribosomal RNA", at positions 338 to 795 of the family's 1533-position model. The record is from RNAcentral. Lineage: Bacteria; Pseudomonadati; Pseudomonadota; Gammaproteobacteria; Oceanospirillales; Halomonadaceae.
CCUACGGGCGGCAGCAGUGGGGAAUAUUGGACAAUGGGGGCAACCCUGAUCCAGCCAUGCCGCGUGUGUGAAGAAGGCCCGCGGGUUGUAAAGCACUUUCAGUGAGGAAGAACGCCUGGUGGUUAAUACCCAUCAGGAAAGACAUCACUCACAGAAGAAGCACCGGCUAACUCCGUGCCAGCAGCCGCGGUAAUACGGAGGGUGCGAGCGUUAAUCGGAAUUACUGGGCGUAAAGCGCGCGUAGGUGGCUUGAUAAGCCGGUUGUGAAAGCCCCGGGCUCAACCUGGGAACGGCAUCCGGAACUGUCAAGCUAGAGUGCAGGAGAGGAAGGUAGAAUUCCCGGUGUAGCGGUGAAAUGCGUAGAGAUCGGGAGGAAUACCAGUGGCGAAGGCGGCCUUCUGGACUGACACUGACACUGAGGUGCGAAAGCGUGGGUAGCAAACAGGAUUAGAUACCCGGGUAGUC